UUGCUGGUGAUCUCACUUCUUGACUAAUGUGUUAUAAAACGCAAGUGCUAUCAGGGACAACUGUGCUGCUAUCAGGGGAGGAUGGAGAAUAGGAGUGAAUCCUAAAGGAGUGGGAAGUGGAUUGAAAAAUGAAGUCCUGUUCAAACCCAAGCAUUGACUAAAAUUAAAACAUGCAGGGAAAGAUGUGACUCAUCUAACAAAGAACAUAGGUACUACUGUUUACAUAUCCCCUGAUGCAUCAGCAGGAGUGACAAUGGGGUUUUCCAGGCCCAGCACACUAGAUUUGGAUCUUCUACCUCAUUUGGAAAAGGAAAAAUGAAACGGUGUAAGAUAUGCACAUACUUUUUCUUAGAGAUUUUCUCCCC
Molecule: long non-coding RNA, 365 nt
Filed under: Salvator merianae (Argentine black and white tegu)
Lineage: Eukaryota; Metazoa; Chordata; Lepidosauria; Squamata; Teiidae
Description: lncRNA (ENSSMRG00000011789.1)
Source: RNAcentral